Molecule: ribosomal RNA, 509 nt
Filed under: Orectochilus villosus
Lineage: Eukaryota; Metazoa; Arthropoda; Insecta; Coleoptera; Gyrinidae
Description: partial 16S ribosomal RNA
Rfam family: Archaeal large subunit ribosomal RNA (bases 386-509)
Source: RNAcentral
CGCUUUAUGAUUUAUAUAUAAAGUAUAACCUGCCCAAUGAUUAUUUGAAUGGCCGCAGUAUUUUGACUGUGCAAAGGUAGCAUAAUAAUUAGUUUUUUAAUUAAAAGCUUGUAUGAAUGGUUGGACGAGAUAAAAUCUUUAUUAAUAUAAUUUAUAUUAGAAUUUAAUAUUUGAGUUAAAAAGCUUAAAUUUUUUUAAAAGACGAGAAGACCCUAUAGAUCUUUAUUAAUUUAUUUAAGUAUAAUGUUAGAUUUAAUUUGUUAUAUAUUAAUUUAAUUAAUUUUGUUGGGGUAAUAUAAAGAUUUAAUUAAUUCUUUAUUAUAAAAACAUUAAUUUAUGAGUUUUUGAUCCUUUAUUAAAGAUUAAAAGAUUAAGUUACCUUAGGGAUAACAGCGUAAUUUUUUUGUAGAGUUCAUAUCGAUAAAAAAGAUUGCGACCUCGAUGUUGGAUUAAAAUUUAUUAUUGGUGUAGAAGCUAGUAAAUUUGGUCUGUUCGACCAUUAAAAUUUU